CACAGUGCUGCAUGGCUGUCGUCAGCUCGUGCCGUGAGGUGUUGGGUUAAGUCCCGCAACGAGCGCAACCCUCAUCGCUAGUUACAUGUGUCUAGCGAGACUGCCAGGUUAACCCCUGGAGGAAGGUGGGGAUGACGUCAAGUCAGCAUGGCCUUUAUGCCCAGGGCUACACACACGCUACAAUGGUCGGCACAAUGGGAUGCCAAGCCGUGAGGCGGAGCAAAUCCUCAAAGCCGGCCUCAGUUCGAAUUGGAGGCUGCAACUCGCCUCCAUGAAGUCGGAGUUUGCUAGUAACCGCAGGUCAGCUAUACUGCGGUGAAUACGUUCCCGGGGCUU
RNAcentral lists this ribosomal RNA (336 nucleotides) under uncultured Caldilineaceae bacterium. RNAcentral describes it as "bacterial SSU rRNA". It matches the Rfam family "Bacterial small subunit ribosomal RNA", at positions 1034 to 1382 of the family's 1533-position model. Lineage: Bacteria; Bacillati; Chloroflexota; Caldilineae; Caldilineales; Caldilineaceae. The record is from RNAcentral.